RNAcentral lists this ribosomal RNA (301 nucleotides) under uncultured bacterium. RNAcentral's name for it is "partial 16S ribosomal RNA". It matches the Rfam family "Bacterial small subunit ribosomal RNA", at positions 509 to 809 of the family's 1533-position model. The record is from RNAcentral.
CAGCAGCCGCGGUAAUACGUAGGGUGCAAGCGUUAAUCGGAAUUACUGGGCGUAAAGCGUGCGCAGGCGGUUUUGUAAGUCUGUCGUGAAAUCCCCGGGCUCGACCUGGGAAUGGCGAUGGAGACUGCAAGGCUAGAAUCUGGCAGAGGGGGGUAGAAUUCCACGUGUAGCAGUGAAAUGCGUAGAUAUGUGGAGGAACACCGAUGGCGAAGGCAGCCCCCUGGGCUAAGAUUGACGCUCAUGCACGAAAGCGUGGGGAGCAAACAGGAUUAGAUACCCCUGUAGUCCCUGUCUCUUAUAU